GCAGCACUCAGACAGGCCCAGCUGAUGGAGCAGAUUAAAAAUGCCCCAUUUUUAAACAUCUUCUCCAGCACAGCCAUCGCCCUGAGGGCUGCGAGCUCUCUGUGUGCUGUUCCCUCCUGACCAGCACAGGGCUGGGUGGGCAGGCAGGGGCUGGGUGGGCAGAUUCAGCCUGAGCAGCUGAAGGAGCAGAGCCAGCCCAGCUGUUCCUGGCUGGCAGACGGCUCAGCAGAUUGCAGCGCAGGAUCCCUGACGGCAGCAGGCAGGAGCAUCCAUCCGGUUUGUGCUUUGCUGCUGUGCCAAAUCUCCCUCCUGUCCCUCUCAGGCUUUUCCUUCCACUUCUCUGUGUUUCCUGCUCAAGCACACAACCACUGCUCAAGCACCCAGGCAGGAUCCAGGUGGAUCUCCCCGAGGAGCAGAGUAGGCUGGAGCUGCUCCUGGUGCUCCAAGGCUUCCUCUCCUGGGAAUUACAGAGGGAAUCCAGAUCUACCAAGGGCACAGAAGGGACAGGCAGAGCAGCACCUCCCAGAGGAGUCACUUAGCUCAGCUGAGCAGGGAUCCCAGAGGACACAACCCUCAUCCCUCCUGCCUUCUCCAACCCUGCAAAACCUCCCUGAUAUUGUUCCUCACGAUGUUCCCUGCGCUCCCUCCAGAACCAGAGCAGUUUGUCCAUCACCCAGUGGAAAUGUGCAGGGAAGUCACCAGGGAAGCAGCACCUUACCUUGUGCCAUCUUCCACAGGGGUGGAACUGAAACAGGAGGGCACCAGGGUGGCUCCAGCUCAGGCUUCCCAGGGAGUUUUCACUCCUAUGCUGCCAAGAGGCUCCUGACAGUCCUUCCAUGCCCAGGAUGGGAACAGUGCCACAUGACUCUGCUCCUGCUGAAACACCUCCUCAGCUGCCAGGGCCGCCAGCCAGGUGGCAUCUCUGCCCAGCCACCCCUGAGCAAGCAGCAGGCUCGUCCUCUGGAGUCCUCUGAAAUUCCCAGCAAUGUCUGAGGAGCAGCCCUGGGAUGACAGAGCGACCUUGGGAACUGUCUGUGCUGGAGUGGGAGCAGAAGUUGUGGCAGUGGUGACCUUCCCAUCCCAGCUCUGAUUCUAGCACGAGCCUGCUCAGCACCUCCCCACGUUCAUGUCCCUGCUCACCAUCUCUUGGUGACACCAGUCACAC
This 1165-nucleotide long non-coding RNA is filed under the name Serinus canaria (Common canary). Its description in RNAcentral is "lncRNA (ENSSCAG00000005604.1)". Lineage: Eukaryota; Metazoa; Chordata; Aves; Passeriformes; Fringillidae. The record is from RNAcentral.